Molecule: transfer RNA, 93 nt
Filed under: Candidatus Bathyarchaeota archaeon
Lineage: Archaea; Thermoproteati; Candidatus Bathyarchaeota
Description: tRNA-Thr
Rfam family: tRNA
About the family: Transfer RNA (tRNA) molecules are approximately 80 nucleotides in length.
Source: RNAcentral
GCCUCGGUAACUCAGCCUGGUAGAUAUUGAAAAAUAGCUGAAAGUGGCAGCCUCGUAAGCUGUUAGCCGAGGGUUCAAAUCCCUCCCGAGGCU